Molecule: ribosomal RNA, 497 nt
Filed under: uncultured bacterium
Lineage: Bacteria
Description: partial 16S ribosomal RNA
Rfam family: Bacterial small subunit ribosomal RNA
Source: RNAcentral
GAUGAACGCUGGCGGCGUGCCUAAUACAUGCAAGUCGAGCGAACAGACGAGGAGCUUGCUCCUCUGACGUUAGCGGCGGACGUGUGAGUAACACGUGGAUAACCUACCUAUAAGACUGGGAUAACUUCGGGAAACCGGAGCUAAUACCGGAUAAUAUAUUGAACCGCAUGGUUCAAUAGUGAAAGACGGUUUUGCUGUCACUUAUAGAUGGAUCCGCGCCGAAUUAGCUAGUUUGUAAGGUAACGGCUUACCAAGGCAACGAUGCGUAGCCGACCUGAGAGGGUGAACGGCCACACUGGAAAUGAGAAACGGCCCAGACUCCUACGGGAGGCAGAAGUAGGGAAUCUUCCGCAAUGGGCGAAAGCCUGACGGAGCAACGCCGCGUGAUUGAUGAAGGUCUUCGGAUCGUAAAGCUCUGUUAUUAGGGAAGAACAAAUGUGUAAGUAAAUAUGCACGUCUUGACGGUACCUAAUCAGAAAGUCACGGAAAACUACGUG